RNAcentral lists this ribosomal RNA (460 nucleotides) under uncultured bacterium. Its description in RNAcentral is "partial 16S ribosomal RNA". It matches the Rfam family "Bacterial small subunit ribosomal RNA", at positions 338 to 795 of the family's 1533-position model. The record is from RNAcentral.
CCUACGGGUGGCAGCAGUGAGGAAUAUUGGUCAAUGGACGCGAGCCUGAACCAGCCAAGUCGCGUGCAGGAUGACGGCCCUCCGGGUUGUAAACUUCUUUUGUCAGGGAGCAAUUGGGUCCACGUGUGGUCUUAGUGAUAGUACCUGAAGAAAAAGGAUCCGCUAACUUCGUUCCAGCAGCCGCGGUAAUAAGGAGGGUGCGAGGGUUAUCCGGAUUUAUUGGGUUUAAAGGGGGCGUAGGCGGAAUAUCAAGUCGGCGGUAAAAAUUCGGGGCUCAACCCUGACGUGCCGUUGAAACUGAUGUUCUUGAGUGCACGAGAAGUAUGCGGAAUGCGUGGUGUAGCGGUGAAAUGCAUAGAUAUCACGCAGAACUCCGAUUGCGAAGGCAGCAUACCGGCGCCCAACUGACGCUGAGGCACGAAAGCGUGGGUAUCGAACAGGAUUAGAUACCCUUGUAGUC